AGGAACUGAGCUUGAUAGCGUCAGUUCGAAUUAUUUUUAGGUUAAAUUGAAGCGUAGUUCAAUAAAGGAGAAAUAUUAUAUAUAAUUACAACCUUAUUCACCUAAUUUAUAAGACAUGGCCUCCACAUUUUUACGCCAAUCAGUCACCUCUUCUUUCUGUGGAAGGUUGGCUUUGAAGUCAAUGGACUGUGAGUGUUUGGAGCCCAGAAGGACACUUAGCAAUUGCUCAGCCGACAGUUUCACUCUCUUCAGGUUUGGCCUCUUCAGCUUGCUCUUCAUGUCAUAGAUCUUCUGAUUCAUUU
Long non-coding RNA from Megalobrama amblycephala (Wuchang bream), 302 nucleotides. RefSeq lists it as uncharacterized. NCBI's taxonomy places the organism in Eukaryota, Metazoa, Chordata, Actinopteri, Cypriniformes, Xenocyprididae. The record is from RefSeq and is a predicted model, not a curated record. The transcript has 3 exons.